UAGAUGUGCUCUAUUUUAACCUUUCUCAUAGA
Molecule: non-coding RNA, 32 nt
Filed under: Mus musculus (house mouse)
Lineage: Eukaryota; Metazoa; Chordata; Mammalia; Rodentia; Muridae
Source: RNAcentral